Molecule: non-coding RNA, 72 nt
Organism: Parelaphostrongylus tenuis
Lineage: Eukaryota; Metazoa; Nematoda; Chromadorea; Rhabditida; Metastrongylidae
Source: the annotation of a GenBank genome assembly
GCGUCAGUAGUGUAACGGAUACAGCACAUACUCCCGUAAAGCGAGGUGCAGGUUCUAGUCCCGCCUGGCGCG